CACCAAUAAUCUUUAAUUCAUGUGACCUUUAAUAUGCAGUCAAGGUCAAAGGUCACUGAGUGCAAAAAAAAAAUUACGCUGCAAUUUCAAGCUUACAUAUUAGGAAAACGAUAAGACUUUGCUGCAUACAUACAGCGUAUAAAAUGUUCCUCUCGACGAGCUCUACAUUUUAUAUGAUAAGUUCAAAAAUGUCCGACUGUCUGUUCAAAAGUUACAACGGGAUGAUUCUUAAAAGUAUAGUAUUUUGUGUAUAUCUUUUUAAAGGUAACAGAUAUCAACCUACUAUAAACUGCAAAGAUGAUCAGUAAUUCAAGACCUUCAAUUUGAGGUCAAUGUCAGGUCAUGAUGAAAUUUCACCUUGACCUUCACAUUAUACUAUGACCUUGACCUUGUGAUAUUUGAAAGGUCAAGUGGUCCUGAGUUGAAUGGUGGUAGUCCCAUGUCUCUACGACUUCCGGUUCUCAAGUUUGGUAUUGCAUCAUAUAUUUGAUGAUUAAUUGUGACCUUGGUGAACUUUGAAAUUGUCCCAAUUCUUUUUCUAUAAUGUUGUCCUUUAACUGUAGAUCAUUUAUCAUUUAACAGAUUUGAGAUAUCUAUUGUCGUUUUAGAGAUAAUGCAGUUUGAAAUUUUGCGAGCGGAGGCAUGUAUUUCUGAAUCAACAACAGCUUACCACUUAAAAUGUUUUAAGAAAUUGAAGAGGUUAACAUAGUUAUAUGUUUGACCAAAUACCAAAAACAUUCCAUUGAAAAAAAACACCAAAAAAUCAUUUUGAAAUUUUCAUGUUUUGCAUUGACUUUGUAAGUUUCAUAACUUCUAUUUAUAUCGUUGAUAUUGCAUCAUUUUUUGCACUUUGUCAAAUGGGGUCAUCUGAUAUAUCAAAUUGAAGGUCUCAAUAAACUCUACUUAAAAAUGAAAAUUUUAAA
Molecule: long non-coding RNA, 923 nt
Filed under: Mytilus galloprovincialis (Mediterranean mussel)
Lineage: Eukaryota; Metazoa; Mollusca; Bivalvia; Mytilida; Mytilidae
Source: RNAcentral